AGAGUUUGAUCAUGGCUCAGGAUGAACGCUAGCGGGAGGCCUAACACAUGCAAGCCGAGCGGUAUUGUUCUUCGGAAAUGAGAGAGCGGCGUACGGGUGCGGAACACGUGUGCAACCUGCCUUUAUCUGGGGGAUAGCCUUUCGAAAGGAAGAUUAAUACUCCAUAAUAUAUUGAUUGGCAUCAAUUAAUAUUGAAAGCUCCGGCGGAUAGAGAUGGGCACGCGCAAGAUUAGCUAGUUGGUGAGGUAACGGCUCACCAAGGCGAUGAUCUUUAGGGGGCCUGAGAGGGUGAUCCCCCACACUGGUACUGAGACACGGACCAGACUCCUACGGGAGGCAGCAGUGAGGAAUAUUGGUCAAUGGGUGCAAGCCUGAACCAGCCAUCCCGCGUGAAGGACGACUGCCCUAUGGGUUGUAAACUUCUUUUGUAUAGGGAUAAACCUACCCUCGUGAGGGUAGCUGAAGGUACUAUACGAAUAAGCACCGGCUAACUCCGUG
RNAcentral lists this ribosomal RNA (498 nucleotides) under uncultured bacterium. Its description in RNAcentral is "bacterial SSU rRNA". It matches the Rfam family "Bacterial small subunit ribosomal RNA", at positions 8 to 507 of the family's 1533-position model. The record is from RNAcentral.